AUGAAGGUCCUUGGCCUAGACAUGGAUCCCGAAGCUGCUCCUUCGAAGCCCCCGUCCAAGCACAGAGACAGAGGCGACCAAUGCCAAUGUGUCAUUCUAAUAAUUGUCGCAUGUCUGACCUUGGCAGCUUUUGUCUAUGUCGCCGUUCGCCAGCUCAUCGUCGAUCCCGACCUGAAUUUCGGGAGCGCAAAGUUCAGCAUGGAGCCCGUGUCCCACGCCGGGAUAUAUCGCAACGACUCGUCGCCGGCUUUCAACGUCACGCUGCACGCCAGGAGCUCCUACAAGCACAGCUUCUGCAGCGACCACAGAGGCGGGGACGUGCAGGCGGUGUACUCGGGCAUCACCGUCGCCAUGGGCCACGUGCCGCCCUUCUGCGUGGAGCCCAAAGGUUCGAUCGCCAUGACGGCGGCUGCCUCGUCAGGCUGGCUGGCUAUGCCAGCUUCGCUGCAAGAGCGUAUCGACCAUGACAGGAGGAACGGCGGGGUGGAACUGGAGGUCGAUCUCAGCUUCGCCAACGAUAUCAAGGGCUUAGUAUGGGUGCGCUGCCGUGCCAAGUUGGAUGCCACGACCACAUCACCAUGCAAAUCUUUUGGUCUGGGAUACAUUUGUUUGUGA
RNAcentral lists this ribosomal RNA (615 nucleotides) under Triticum aestivum (bread wheat). Its description in RNAcentral is "partial small subunit ribosomal RNA". The record is from RNAcentral. Lineage: Eukaryota; Viridiplantae; Streptophyta; Magnoliopsida; Poales; Poaceae.